CAGAAACACAGAUCAUCACAAUGGAGCCAUGACUGCUAAGGCUAAUUAGCAUGGCCACCGGUGACGGUGGAUAAAUGGUUUUCCGGUCACGGACAUCGACAAAGGACGAUGAAGGACAGCGACAACCGAAAGUCAUCGCCACUCGGAGUGAAACUGAACACACAAGAAGACAAUAAAACACAGAGCUCUGCAGCUGCUGAGCUGCCCCCACGCAAACGCGCGCCGUCUGCUCAGCAGGACUCCUUUUCAAAGACGCCACCAACCUGAAUGAGCGAUGGAGACGGAUGAGGAGGAAGUGCAACGACAGACGGAGUGACUGGAGCCUGCAAGAUGCAGCGAUUCAGUGAGUCAGGAAAACGCAGUGAAUAGCUGCAGAAUUGUACAUGUAAAGUUUAAUAUUUCCACUCAAAGCGUAAUUUCACUGAGAGAAGUUUGUUACUGUUGAUGUCGUCAAACUCGAUUCAGACCGUUUGAGUGUGUAAAAUGAAAAUGUAUGGGGCUCUUGACAAUGACACAGCCGCUGUGCAAAGGAAAUAAAGAAAUACAUUUACACAGGAGCAAAUCAGUCUGGAGGAGGUGUGAUAGGAGGCAGC
Poecilia reticulata (guppy) is the source of this 593-nucleotide long non-coding RNA. RefSeq lists it as uncharacterized. NCBI's taxonomy places the organism in Eukaryota, Metazoa, Chordata, Actinopteri, Cyprinodontiformes, Poeciliidae. The record is from RefSeq and is a predicted model, not a curated record.